CCUACGGGAGGCAGCAGUGGGGAAUUUUGGACAAUGGGCGCAAGCCUGAUCCAGCCAUGCCGCGUGCGGGAAGAAGGCCUUCGGGUUGUAAACCGCUUUUGUCAGGGAAGAAAUCCCUUGAGCUAAUACCUCGGGGGGAUGACGGUACCUGAAGAAUAAGCACCGGCUAACUACGUGCCAGCAGCCGCGGUAAUACGUAGGGUGCAAGCGUUAAUCGGAAUUACUGGGCGUAAAGCGUGCGCAGGCGGUUAUGUAAGACAGGUGUGAAAUCCCCGGGCUUAACCUGGGAACUGCACUUGUGACUGCAUAGCUUGAGUGCGGCAGAGGGGGAUGGAAUUCCGCGUGUAGCAGUGAAAUGCGUAGAUAUGCGGAGGAACACCGAUGGCGAAGGCAAUCCCCUGGGCCUGCACUGACGCUCAUGCACGAAAGCGUGGGGAGCAAACAGGAUUAGAUACCCGUGGUAGUCCACGCCCUAAACGAUGUCAACUGGUUGUUGGACGGCUUGCUGUUCAGUAACGUAGCUAACGCGUGAGUUGACCGCCUGGGGAGUACGGCCGCGAAGGUUGAAACUUAAGUGAAUUGACGG
RNAcentral lists this ribosomal RNA (586 nucleotides) under uncultured bacterium. Its description in RNAcentral is "bacterial SSU rRNA". It matches the Rfam family "Bacterial small subunit ribosomal RNA", at positions 338 to 916 of the family's 1533-position model. The record is from RNAcentral.